This 372-nucleotide ribosomal RNA is filed under the name uncultured organism. Its description in RNAcentral is "partial 16S ribosomal RNA". It matches the Rfam family "Bacterial small subunit ribosomal RNA", at positions 527 to 896 of the family's 1533-position model. The record is from RNAcentral.
GUAGGUGGCAAGCGUUGUCCGGAAUUAUUGGGCGUAAAGCGCGCGCAGGCGGUUCUUUAAGUCUGAUGUGAAAGCCCACGGCUCAACCGUGGAGGGUCAUUGGAAACUGGAGAACUUGAGUACAGAAGAGGAAAGCGGAAUUCCACGUGUAGCGGUGAAAUGCGUAGAGAUGUGGAGGAACACCAGUGGCGAAGGCGGCUUUCUGGUCUGUAACUGACGCUGAGGCGCGAAAGCGUGGGGAGCAAACAGGGAUUAGAUACCCUGGUAGUCCACGCCGUAAACGAUGAGUGCUAAGUGUUAGGGGGUUUCCGCCCCCUUAGUGCUGCAGCUGACGCAUUAAGCACUCCGCCUGGGAGUACGGCCGCAAGGCUG